Molecule: ribosomal RNA, 687 nt
Filed under: uncultured bacterium
Lineage: Bacteria
Description: bacterial SSU rRNA
Rfam family: Bacterial small subunit ribosomal RNA
Source: RNAcentral
AAUACCGCAUAACAGAAGGGGACGCAUGUUUCUUUCUUGAAAACUCCGGUGGUACGGGAUGGACCCGCGUCUGAUUAGCUGGUUGGCGGGGUAACGGCCCACCAAGGCGACGAUCAGUAGCCGGCCUGAGAGGGCGGACGGCCACAUUGGGACUGAGACACGGCCCAAACUCCUACGGGAGGCAGCAGUGGGGAAUAUUGCACAAUGGGGGAAACCCUGAUGCAGCGACGCCGCGUGAGUGAAGAAGCGUUUCGGCGCGUAAAGCUCUGUCAGCGGGGAAGAAACACGGUUCGCGAGAGCCGCGGACGGUACCCGACCAAGAAGCCCCGGCUAACUACGUGCCAGCAGCCGCGGUAAUACGUAGGGGGCAAGCGUUAUCCGGAUUCACUGGGUGUAAAGGGAGCGUAGACGGCGAGACAAGUCUGGAGUGAAAGGCCGGGGCCCAACCCCGGGACUGCUCUGGAAACUGCCUGGCUGGAGUACAGGAGAGGUAAGUGGAAUUCCUAGUGUAGCGGUGAAAUGCGUAGAUAUUAGGAGGAACACCAGUGGCGAAGGCGGCUUACUGGACUGUAACUGACGUUGAGGCUCGAAAGCGUGGGGAGCAAACAGGAUUAGAUACCCUGGUAGUCCACGCCGUAAACGAUGAUCACUAGGUGUCGGGGGUUAGAAGGCCCCCGGUGCCGCAGC